This is a long non-coding RNA of Aedes aegypti (yellow fever mosquito), 396 nucleotides long. RefSeq lists it as uncharacterized. The transcript has 2 exons. NCBI's taxonomy places the organism in Eukaryota, Metazoa, Arthropoda, Insecta, Diptera, Culicidae. The record is from RefSeq and is a predicted model, not a curated record.
UACCGUGUACGCACCUAACUUUGCGCAGCUCCAAACUUUGCGCAUUUUUAAGAAGCAUGAAAAAGUGAUAAUUAACCAAUGAUUUUUCAACAAUUCUGUUUCAGUAACAUGUUCGUUUAUGUGAAAUAAGUAUUUGGCAUACAUUUGUUUACUAAGAAACCCUCGUUAAUGUUAUUAAAUAACCCAAAAACCUUAUCGUCACACGUAUAAACGUCAACUUUUACACCGUCUUAGCACAAGCGCUAAGGAGUGGCUCUGCCAAAAAUCAACAUUUUUCUGAACAUAACUGUGUUGUGAGAAGUAUAUUUGAGGUGUAUUUGCAAAAAAGGUAAUAUUCUAGUAAUUCCAUCAAUUUUCCAUACAAUAUAUCGAAUUUUUAUUUGAAAAAAGCAAUGC